RNAcentral lists this ribosomal RNA (429 nucleotides) under uncultured Sinobacteraceae bacterium. Its description in RNAcentral is "bacterial SSU rRNA". It matches the Rfam family "Bacterial small subunit ribosomal RNA", at positions 355 to 776 of the family's 1533-position model. Lineage: Bacteria; Pseudomonadati; Pseudomonadota; Gammaproteobacteria; Nevskiales; Nevskiaceae. The record is from RNAcentral.
UGGGGAAUAUUGGACAAUGGGCGAAAGCCUGAUCCAGCGACGCCGCGUGGGUGAAGAAGGCCUGCGGGUUGUAAAGCCCUUUCGGUAGGGACGAAAGCUCUUGCUCUAAUAAGGCAGGAGGUUGACUUAACCUACAUAAGAAGCACCGGCUAACUCUGUGCCAGCAGCCGCGGUAAUACAGAGGGUGCGAGCGUUAAUCGGAAUUACUGGGCGUAAAGCGCACGUAGUCGGCUUGUCAAGUCGGGUGUGAAAUCCCCGGGCUCAACCUGGGAACUGCAUCCGAGACUGACUUGCUAGAGUAUGGGAGAGGGAAGCGGAAUUUCUGGUGUAGCAGUGAAAUGCGUAGAUAUCAGAAGGAACAUCAGUGGCGAAGGCGGCUUCCUGGACCAAUACUGACGAUCAGGUGCGAAAGCGUGGGGAGCAAACAGG